Molecule: ribosomal RNA, 148 nt
Filed under: Anisocentropus kawamurai
Lineage: Eukaryota; Metazoa; Arthropoda; Insecta; Trichoptera; Calamoceratidae
Description: partial 12S ribosomal RNA
Source: RNAcentral
UACAAAUAAUAAAUAAAAAAUUAUUUUAUAAAAUUAAAUAAAAAAAAUUAUUAUAUUAAAAAAAUUAUUUUUUUAAGUAAAAUUUUAAAAUAAUAAAUAUAAAUAUUUUAAAAUAUUUAUUUAUAUUAAAAAAAAAUUAAUUAAACUA